RNAcentral lists this ribosomal RNA (1794 nucleotides) under Escherichia coli. RNAcentral describes it as "partial 23S ribosomal RNA". It matches the Rfam family "Bacterial large subunit ribosomal RNA", at positions 911 to 2687 of the family's 2925-position model. Lineage: Bacteria; Pseudomonadati; Pseudomonadota; Gammaproteobacteria; Enterobacterales; Enterobacteriaceae. The record is from RNAcentral.
UGUUUCGGCAAGGGGGUCAUCCCGACUUACCAACCCGAUGCAAACUGCGAAUACCGGAGAAUGUUAUCACGGGAGACACACGGCGGGUGCUAACGUCCGUCGUGAAGAGGGAAACAACCCAGACCGCCAGCUAAGGUCCCAAAGUCAUGGUUAAGUGGGAAACGAUGUGGGAAGGCCCAGACAGCCAGGAUGUUGGCUUAGAAGCAGCCAUCAUUUAAAGAAAGCGUAAUAGCUCACUGGUCGAGUCGGCCUGCGCGGAAGAUGUAACGGGGCUAAACCAUGCACCGAAGCUGCGGCAGCGACGCUUAUGCGUUGUUGGGUAGGGGAGCGUUCUGUAAGCCUGUGAAGGUGUGCUGUGAGGCAUGCUGGAGGUAUCAGAAGUGCGAAUGCUGACAUAAGUAACGAUAAAGCGGGUGAAAAGCCCGCUCGCCGGAAGACCAAGGGUUCCUGUCCAACGUUAAUCGGGGCAGGGUGAGUCGACCCCUAAGGCGAGGCCGAAAGGCGUAGUCGAUGGGAAACAGGUUAAUAUUCCUGUACUUGGUGUUACUGCGAAGGGGGGACGGAGAAGGCUAUGUUGGCCGGGCGACGGUUGUCCCGGUUUAAGCGUGUAGGCUGGUUUUCCAGGCAAAUCCGGAAAAUCAAGGCUGAGGCGUGAUGACGAGGCACUACGGUGCUGAAGCAACAAAUGCCCUGCUUCCAGGAAAAGCCUCUAAGCAUCAGGUAACAUCAAAUCGUACCCCAAACCGACACAGGUGGUCAGGUAGAGAAUACCAAGGCGCUUGAGAGAACUCGGGUGAAGGAACUAGGCAAAAUGGUGCCGUAACUUCGGGAGAAGGCACGCUGAUAUGUAGGUGAAGCGACUUGCUCGUGGAGCUGAAAUCAGUCGAAGAUACCAGCUGGCUGCAACUGUUUAUUAAAAACACAGCACUGUGCAAACACGAAAGUGGACGUAUACGGUGUGACGCCUGCCCGGUGCCGGAAGGUUAAUUGAUGGGGUCAGCGCAAGCGAAGCUCUUGAUCGAAGCCCCGGUAAACGGCGGCCGUAACUAUAACGGUCCUAAGGUAGCGAAAUUCCUUGUCGGGUAAGUUCCGACCUGCACGAAUGGCGUAAUGAUGGCCAGGCUGUCUCCACCCGAGACUCAGUGAAAUUGAACUCGCUGUGAAGAUGCAGUGUACCCGCGGCAAGACGGAAAGACCCCGUGAACCUUUACUAUAGCUUGACACUGAACAUUGAGCCUUGAUGUGUAGGAUAGGUGGGAGGCUUAGAAGUGUGGACGCCAGUCUGCAUGGAGCCGACCUUGAAAUACCACCCUUUAAUGUUUGAUGUUCUAACGUUGACCCGUAAUCCGGGUUGCGGACAGUGUCUGGUGGGUAGUUUGACUGGGGCGGUCUCCUCCUAAAGAGUAACGGAGGAGCACGAAGGUUGGCUAAUCCUGGUCGGACAUCAGGAGGUUAGUGCAAUGGCAUAAGCCAGCUUGACUGCGAGCGUGACGGCGCGAGCAGGUGCGAAAGCAGGUCAUAGUGAUCCGGUGGUUCUGGAUGGAAGGGCCAUCGCUCAACGGAUAAAAGGUACUCCGGGGAUAACAGGCUGAUACCGCCCAAGAGUUCAUAUCGACGGCGGUGUUUGGCACCUCGAUGUCGGCUCAUCACAUCCUGGGGCUGAAGUAGGUCCCAAGGGUAUGGCUGUUCGCCAUUUAAAGUGGUACGCGAGCUGGGUUUAGAACGUCGUGAGACAGUUCGGUCCCUAUCUGCCGUGGGCGCUGGAGAACUGAGGGGGGCUGCUCCUAGUACGAG